RNAcentral lists this ribosomal RNA (402 nucleotides) under Ecphylus caudatus. RNAcentral describes it as "partial 28S ribosomal RNA". The record is from RNAcentral. Lineage: Eukaryota; Metazoa; Arthropoda; Insecta; Hymenoptera; Braconidae.
CCUGAGAAACCCAAAAGAUCGAAUGGGGAGAUUCAUCGUCAAUGCAUUUUUAUACGUAUGAGUUAUGAUACGGGUUACUCUUGAGUAUUGGCUGGACGUACUUGUAUAUUUGAAGGUGUAGUCSGCGUGSACUUCUCCCCUARUAAAACAUCGCGACCCGGUAARUGGUGGUUUGUGGCCCAAGUGGGAAGCCUUUAUUGUCUUUGACUUURAAGACCCUUGRUGAYCUAAUCGACGCUUGGCGGUACUCGUACGGUAUUUAGCCGCACUUGUGCGUUCWUAUCUGUUACAAGCGWGGUARGUUUCUGGUAMCCGGACUUUGUGCCGUCGCUGGAGCUUGCCUGUUGUUGGUGACAGGAUCUAAAACUGGMUAUCAUAUACCGGUCGGCGAUGCUACUGCUU